RNAcentral lists this transfer RNA (71 nucleotides) under Camelus bactrianus (Bactrian camel). It matches the Rfam family "tRNA". Rfam says of the family: Transfer RNA (tRNA) molecules are approximately 80 nucleotides in length. Their secondary structure includes four short double-helical elements and three loops (D, anti-codon, and T loops). RNAcentral also lists the same sequence under 2 other names. The record is from Rfam by way of RNAcentral. Lineage: Eukaryota; Metazoa; Chordata; Mammalia; Artiodactyla; Camelidae.
UGGGGUAGAGCUCAGUGGUCAGUGCAUGCCUAGCAUGCAUGAGGUCCUGGGUUCAAUUCCCAGGACCUCUA